CUGAUCAAACUGUCACACCUGAACGUGGACAUGAUGUUACUCUGCCUUGUAAAAAUGUGAUACAAGGUCAGCAUAACUGUAGCAGUACUACCUGGAUCUUCAGUGAUUCAAGCAGCACAGUAUCACUCUUUGAACUUGGGCAGAUUAAAGAAGCCAAACCUAAAUCAGACAGACUGAGUCUUUCUGCAGACUGUUCUCUGGAUAUAAAGAAGGUCACAGAUCAGGAUGUUGGUCGUUACACCUGCAGACAGUUCAAAACAGCAACAGGAUCACAAGAAGGUCCAGACUUUAUGAUUGAUCUGUCUGUUAUUAACAGCGAAGAUGUGAAAACAACUAAAUCAACAACAGUGAAAUCCAGCACAAGAAAUUCAACAACAAGAAAAUCCACAACAUCAACAAUUAAACCAACAUUAAAAAUCACAAACUUAUGGACAAAAAAUGAGGAAUUAAAGACAUCAGAAGGUGUAUAACGAUGAAGAUGAAUGUACAGUGAACUAUGAAAACACUGGAGACUCUUCUGCUUCUGUCAGACUCCACUGAUCAAGAUCUUCAACAUCAACUGAUCACAGAAAUGAAUCCACUGAUGUUUAAAACAUUUACAUUUUGAUUUUAUCUCAUAUUUAGAAUCCAAAACCUUUUUCAUGUGCAGUUAUUUAGCUAGUUAAAAAUAACUCAAACUCUGUGUCUGAAACAGUUUGUCCAGUUAGUUACGUAAAGAAAAGACUUUCAGACUGAGAAUGUUGCAGUCAGAAGGUUGACUGAGAAGUCGAGUUGACAAAGGAAACUGCUUCAGCCAUGAAAGGGGGAGGCCAGCAUAAUCAGAAUAACAGCUUCUUCUUUGGUGUUUACAUUUAUUUUUUAUAUAUUUGAUUGUUACACUUUAUCUUUAUUUGUGACACAGUAACCAACGUUAUAUUCAAUGUUAUAACUUUUAUGUUAUCUAUAACUUUUGUCACAACCUGGCUCAAAGGAUGUGGCAAGUAGGUGGGAGACCACACAGGCUUUUAAAGGCUGUAAGAUAUUUUAAUUAAAUAAAGUAAAGAAACUCAAACACAGAUUAAAUGGUACAACAUCCAUAACCAAACCUAACCAAGGGAGCAUAAUGAGCCACAGACGGAGGAGGCCAGAGGUUCAGUCAAAGUGACUUUAUAAUGCGCAUGGAUGGCCCUCUCAGGUUUGCUGCAUCUAUAAUUGGGUCAGCUCCACCUACCAGAUACCUGAAAGGCAACAAGACAACAAGGCCAGCCCACUGGGUGUCACACACUUUUUUUGGCUGCAUGACAUAAAGAUUGAUUAUAUUGUUUGUUUUCUUGCUCUGUUUCUCUCUGAAUCCUCACACACCUGAACCGUAAUAGACUAGAAGCUACUCUUAAUUAUUCUCUUCAGUUUGACUUGCUGUACUUUCAUCUUCAGUAUUAAACCUUUACUCUUAAGCAGCUCCGUUU
This is a long non-coding RNA of Oreochromis aureus, 1445 nucleotides long. The record is from Ensembl. NCBI's taxonomy places the organism in Eukaryota, Metazoa, Chordata, Actinopteri, Cichliformes, Cichlidae.